RNAcentral lists this transfer RNA (29 nucleotides) under Abronia gadovii. Its description in RNAcentral is "partial tRNA-Leu". Lineage: Eukaryota; Metazoa; Chordata; Lepidosauria; Squamata; Anguidae. The record is from RNAcentral.
CUUUUAAAGGAUAAAAGUCAUCCAGUGGC